This is a non-coding RNA of Oryza glumipatula, 187 nucleotides long. The record is from Rfam. NCBI's taxonomy places the organism in Eukaryota, Viridiplantae, Streptophyta, Magnoliopsida, Poales, Poaceae.
UUUAAAUGUCACUUAUGGGUUUUCGUGUCCAACGUUUGACCGCUCCUCUUAUUUGAAAUUUUUUUAGAUUAAUAUGUUCAUUGUUAUUAGAUGAUAAAACAUGAAUGGUACUUUAUGCAUGACUUAUUUUUUUAAAUUUUUCAAAUAAGACAGACGGUUGACACGACAAUCCACAACUGCACUUAAA